Molecule: unclassified non-coding RNA, 337 nt
Filed under: Phialocephala sp.
Lineage: Eukaryota; Fungi; Ascomycota; Leotiomycetes; Helotiales; Mollisiaceae
Description: partial contains 5.8S ribosomal RNA, internal transcribed spacer 2, and large subunit ribosomal RNA
Source: RNAcentral
AACGCAUAUUGCGCUCGAGCCCUCGGGCAAGAGCAUGUCUGCCUCAGCGUCGGUUUACACCCUCACCCCUCCCAACUUGUUGGGUAUGUUUGCUUUUUUUGCAAGCCACAGGGGUGGAUCUGGCUUCCCCAAUCAGCCAUCAGGUAGAUUGGGUUGGCUGAAGUACAGAGGCUUAAGCAAGGACCCGAUAUGGGCUUCAACUGGAUAGGUAGCACCGGCUUUUGCCGACUACACGAAGUUGUUGCUUGUGGAUCUUGCUAGAAGCCAAGCAGGAAUGUGCCUUUGGCAUAUCUUAACUUUCGACCUGAGCUCAGGCAAGAUUACCCGCUGAACUUAA